This 263-nucleotide ribosomal RNA is filed under the name uncultured archaeon. Its description in RNAcentral is "partial 16S ribosomal RNA". It matches the Rfam family "Archaeal small subunit ribosomal RNA", at positions 717 to 982 of the family's 1478-position model. The record is from RNAcentral.
AGUCACUGACAUUAGAUACCCGUGUAGUCCAGGGUGUAAACGCUGCAGACUUGGUGUUGGGGCCCUUUGGGGGCAUUCAGUGCCGGAGAGAAGUUGUUAAGUCUGCUACGUUGGGAGUACGUCCGCAAGGAUGAAACUUAAAGGAAUUGGCGGGGGAGCACCGCAACGGGAGGAGCGUGCGGUUUAAUUGGAUUCAACACCGUAAACUCACCAGGGAAGACUGUUACAUGAAGGCCGAGAUGAAGACUCUGCUAGAUUUUCAG